This 492-nucleotide ribosomal RNA is filed under the name uncultured bacterium. Its description in RNAcentral is "partial 16S ribosomal RNA". It matches the Rfam family "Bacterial small subunit ribosomal RNA", at positions 29 to 507 of the family's 1533-position model. The record is from RNAcentral.
AGUGAACGCUGGCGGUAGGCCUAACACAUGCAAGUCGAACGGCAGCACAGUAAGAGCUUGCUCUUACGGGUGGCGAGUGGCGGACGGGUGAGGAAUACAUCGGAAUCUACUUUUUCGUGGGGGAUAACGUAGGGAAACUUACGCUAAUACCGCAUACGACCUACGGGUGAAAGCAGGGGAUCUUCGGACCUUGCGCGAUUGAAUGAGCCGAUGUCGGAUUAGCUAGUUGGCGGGGUAAAGGCCCACCAAGGCGACGAUCCGUAGCUGGUCUGAGAGGAUGGUCGGCCACCCUGGAACUGAGACACGGUCCAGACUCCUAAGGGAGGCAGCAGUGGGGAAUAUUGGACAAUGGGCGCAAGCCUGAUCCAGCCAUACCGCGUGGGUGAAGAAGGCCUUCGGGUUGUAAAGCCCUUUUGUUGGGAAAGAAAAGCAGCAGGUUAAUACCCCGCUGUUCUGACGGUACCCAAAGAAUAAGCACCGGCUAACUUCGUG